GGAGUUACGACGGCCAGUGAUUAGAGUUUGAUCCUGGCUCAGGACGAACGCUGGCGGCGUGCUUAACACAUGCAAGUCGAACGGGGAAUUUUAUUUCGGUAGAAUUCCUAGUGGCGAACGGGUGAGUAACGCGUAGGCAACCUGCCCUUCAGACGGGGACAACAUUCCGAAAGGGAUGCUAAUACCGGAUACGAAGCUUCUGCCGCAUGACGGAAGCUUGAAAGGUGCCCUCAAGCACCGCUGAAGGAUGGGCCUGCGUCCGAUUAGCUGGUUGGUGGGGUAACGGCUCACCAAGGCGACGAUCGGUAGCCGGUCUGAGAGGAUGAACGGCCACAUUGGGACUGAGACACGGCCCAGACUCCUACGGGAGGCAGCAGUGGGGAAUCUUCCGCAAUGGGCGAAAGCCUGACGGAGCAACGCCGCGUGAGUGAUGAAGUUCUUCGGAACGUAAAACUCUGUUGUUCACGACGAACGGGGGGACCAGGAAAUGGGUUCCCAGUGACGGUAGUGAACGAGGAAGCCACGGCUAACUACGUGCCAGCAGCCGCGGUAAUACGUAGGUGGCAAGCGUUGUCCGGAAUUAUUGGGCGUAAAGCGCAUGUAGGCGGUUCCUUAAGUCGGUCGUGAAAAUGCGGUGCUUAACGCCGUAUGGCGAUCGAAACUGGGGGACUUGAGUGCAGAGAGGAAAGGGGAACUCCCAGUGUAGCGGUGAAAUGCGUAGAUAUUGGAAGAACACCGGUGGGCGAGCGCUUUCUGACUGUGUCUGACGCUGAGAUGCGAAAGCAGGUAGCGACGGGAUAGAAUACCCGUAGUCUGCGUAAACGAUGGGUACUAGGUGUGGGAGGUAUCGACCCACUGCGGAUACGCAUAGUACCCGCCUGGGGAGUACGCGCAAGGCCUAGCUCAGAUGAGGGCCCGCCAACGGUUGAAUAUUGUUAUUCGAGCACCGGAGAAGUCUUACAGCUUGACUAUGAAGACUGAACGGGUCCCUCUCGAGCCAGAC
This 1003-nucleotide ribosomal RNA is filed under the name uncultured bacterium. RNAcentral's name for it is "bacterial SSU rRNA". It matches the Rfam family "Bacterial small subunit ribosomal RNA". The record is from RNAcentral.